Long non-coding RNA from Onychomys torridus (southern grasshopper mouse), 3748 nucleotides. RefSeq lists it as uncharacterized. The record is from RefSeq and is a predicted model, not a curated record. The transcript has 3 exons. NCBI's taxonomy places the organism in Eukaryota, Metazoa, Chordata, Mammalia, Rodentia, Cricetidae.
AAGUGAAUCUAAAAAUCACAUGGAUUGUGCUAGUUAGUUCUUUGUCAACUUGAUGUAAGCAAGUCUGGGUUAUCUGUGAAGAAGAAACUUCAAUUGAGAAAAUGCCUCCAUCACAAUAUCCUGUAAGCAAGUCUAUGUGGUAUUUUUCUUAAUUAAUGAUUGUGAUGGGAGAGCCCAGCUCACCAGGCAGUGCCACUCUGGACAAGUAGUCCUGGGUGGUAUAAGAAUUCAGGUUGAGUAAUUCACGGGGAGCAGUCCAUAAGUAGCUCUCUUCCAUGGCUUCUGCUUCAGUUUCCACCUCCAGGUUCCUGCCCUGACUUUCUUCAGUAGACUGUGACUCAGGAUAUGAAAGCCAAAUUAGGCUUCCUCCUCAAAGAAAGGUUCUGUUAUGGUCUUAUCACAGCAAUAGAAGGCAAACUAGGACGAAUGUUUAUAGGCACUAAUAUGAACACUGAUAUUUCUUUGAGGGAGGGGAGACACUGGCUUUUUCUGUCUAUUAAUGAAAGGUUACUAGUCUAUGAUAAUACAGUGAAACAUAAUAGAAAAACAAAUGCUUUCUACUGUUAAAAGACAAAAUAAGGAAAUGAACAAAAAGCUCAACUUGGAAGGAAGCAUUGUGAGACAUACAGUCUAUGAGUCAGAAUUCAGAUGCCUUUUUAAAAUGAGGAAGACAUCACAUUUCAAAAGAAACUUCAUGGUGUUCUGUUUUCUUUCUUCCUUUACUCUUUGCCACUAAAUAGCAACCUGUUCUGGAAUCUUGAAAGCCACCAAGAAGAGGAAAACCCAGGUAAGAUGUUUGGCUAGUCCAUUGACGAGGAUGACUGGGCUUCAAAGAAAAUAUUUUCUGAGAGAGUCAAAUGUUAGACUGCAGAGUGGACGCUAAAAUCGAACCACAUAGGAUGAUUUCAGCUUGUAGAAUUUGGUGCUCUGCUAGAGCUCCCAUAAAAUGGAAACAAGUAACUUUUGUGCUGUUUCCACAGCUCCCGUACUAUUUUGAGAGUGGCCUCUAUUUCACAGAUCUCAAAGGAGUCUAAGGUAAUUUUUCUACCCACCUGCCAGUGUCCUGGCAAUGGGCAGGUUUGUGCAAGCACAAGUCAUGACAUAUCAGCCAUCCAGACUGGAGAGCUUAGGCCUUGAAAACCAUUGUAAAGGAAAAGUCACUCCCACUGGUCUCCUUUGUCUGACUCAUGGCAGCCUUUGAUAUUUGAAAGGGAGGCCAUUAAUAGAUCAUAAUCUAUUUAUUUUCCUUUUCCAAAGAAGUGCUCCCAGCAAGGAAAGAUCUAGGUGUGUGCACAAGACGAAACCUCCUGUUGGAACAAUAGAUACCUGCAGAGGAGCCAGAGGAAAAAGACCAGUUCCCGCCCACCUGAUUCUCACUUCAAGCGAGAGGAUGGGCCAGAGACAGCAGGCUUCCCUUGUACCCAAGAGCUCCGUAUCCAAUUAGGGUGGAACGGGCCUGGAGAACAAGUUCUGCAAAGCAGGACACUGGGAACACCAGUUUGGAGAUGGAGCCCAACCACAGAUGUGGGCACAGAGACCAUUCAGUUGGCUUCAACGACCAGACUUAGGAAAGGCAAUAUGUGACCCCAGGACUGAAACUUGGCUCCACCACUCUCUGGUCAUACCAACUUGGUGGUUCCUGCAUGCCAUGGAGAACCUACUGGAUCCCACGUGAAGUCCAGCUUAGAACUGGGACAUCACAAAUGCCAAAGAUCACAUUAGUGACAGCAGAGAUAGAAGACCCACAAUUCCCCCAGUAAGGCACCCACAAGAGUCUACAGACUUCCCACUAUAAAAAAUGGCACUAAAGAUGCUUAGUUUCCAGCCAUCACCGUGAAGUACCCUGGAGAAAAGCAGCUAACCAGAAACGGACACGCGGAAGACAAAGGAGCAUUAUUUCCAUCUUCCUAAAUAGAGUUGUGUGAGAGGAGACAAUGAAAGAAGUGUCAGCCUAGCUAUCAGUUUCCAAUUUGCCCCACCCAACUAAGGUCAUGCGAGACAGAAAACAAAUUACUCAUUUGACACCCAGAAGACAGGAAGUAGAGCUGUCCAAGGCAGGAGCCUAUUUCUAAAUUAAAUCAGGCUUCUUGAUUCCAGAGAAUUCCAGAUGACCAAUAAGAAAGGGCCGAUGACACACCUCCAGGCAGACUCUUCCAAAAAUAACAUUUAUAAUUAGCAGCCAGUGGGAAAACCCAAGUCUACAGAGCCUGUUGUUCUUGCUAGCUUUCUCUGUGGCCACCCACUGAGCACCCUUGAGGAAGGAACAAGCUGGUUAAGCCAAACACAGCUUCUUCCUUGUCCUUAGCCAGCCUGGCUCUUGACCUCUGCCCUGCUACAUGCUAAUCUGCAUCCACUCCCUCUCACUAUGUCUCAGCCCUCCGCCCAACAGUGAUAAGUAAGCCCUUGGGAAGCUCUUCUUUGGAUUCAGAAAGGAGGAUUCUAUUCAGAAGGCUUAUCAGUGCCAACUCUGGCACACCACAUGCUACAUCCAAGUAAACUUACCCUGGUGGGUGAAUUAGCCUCUCUUCCUUGCCCAUUAAAAGGAACUGAGCUACAUGCUCUGUAAAAAUGAAAUCAAAAUUCCUUUUCCCUCAAAUCCUGAGCUAUGUUUUUUGUUAAGCUUCAUACACUUCUUUCCUUUGAUUUCUGAGCUAGGAUGUUGUAGCCACGAAGGUGGAUCCACCUCUGACCCCCAUAAACUAGAGCAGUGUCUUGAGCAGAGAAGACACACAAUGUGGAGUGAAUGGAUGACAACCUCACUCACCCUGGUUUCUCUUUUGACAGAGAAUAAAUGACCCGGGAGGGUGUGGGAUGCUUGAAAGGAUAUCCCUUCUGUGGACAGAUAGAGUCUGUGUACUAGUGUAUGUGUGGAGGCCAGAGGUUGACAUAGAGAUGUUUGCCUCAAUUACUUUCUACCUUAGUUUUUAGAUAGGAUUUCUCACUGAACCUGGAGCUCAUUGAUUUGGCUAGACUACCUGGCCAGCAAGCUCCAGGGCUUCUGCCAUUGUCCUUUAUCAGGAUUAUAGUCCCAUGCUGCCAUACCCAAGUUUUUAUGUAGAUGUGUGGGUCUCAAACGUUAGAAUGGGUCUGGUACAAAAUUAAGUCCUCAAAAUGGAUUUGCUGACUGGCCAGCUUGAAUGGGGAAGGAUCCAUGCUUAGGAAAUGGGCUAAGGAUGACAUGAGACUGACGCGCUGCCUACUGCGCUAAGGAGGCGCCUGUCAGGCUAAGGAUGAUAAUAUAAUUUGCCAAUUACAUGUGAAACUCCCACCCCAGAUAGGCUGUGAUUCCAGCUGCAUUCAAUUCUUAUGUGACAGAUUUCAUCAGAAGGUUCUUUUUGGGUGGGAAAUGUGACUUUAGUUAAAACUGUUCUGCUUCCUGAUGAGACCAUUAAUCACUGUGUUGGCCAACAUCUGACAACAUUGCACACACUAGUCAUAAGUACCUUUAACAUAAGUUGCAUCAAAAGGGUGGGGGACCCAAGAAGCUGCACAUUAUUAGAAACACCACCUGCCUGCUCUGCAGAAGCCACUGUGGGGAAGUAGUUCCCAGGACACUGCAGACAACAAGGUCAUCAGAGAGUAAAUGACAGGAGGGUGUGGGAAGCUUGAACAGACAUGCCUUGUGUGUAAGUUUGAAGUCUGUAUAUUUGUCCAUGUGUGGAGGCCAGAGGCUGACAUAAAGAUGUUUGCCUUGAUUGUUUUCCACUUUAUUCUUUGAGAUGGGAUCUCUCACUGACCCUGCAGCUCA